This is a small nuclear RNA of Suncus etruscus (white-toothed pygmy shrew), 170 nucleotides long. RefSeq annotates it as U1 spliceosomal RNA. The transcript has a single exon. The record is from RefSeq and is a predicted model, not a curated record. NCBI's taxonomy places the organism in Eukaryota, Metazoa, Chordata, Mammalia, Eulipotyphla, Soricidae.
AUACUUUCCAGUAGGGGCAAUACCAUGAUCACUAAGGUAGUUUUCCCAGUGUGAGGUUUGUCCAUUCAUUCUACUCUGGAUGCGAUGUGCUGACCUCUGUGAUUUCCCCAAAAGUGGGAAACUUGAAUGCAUUAUUUGUGGUAAUAAGGGAUCGCAUCUUCGUUCUCCUC